Molecule: long non-coding RNA, 938 nt
Filed under: Olea europaea subsp. europaea
Lineage: Eukaryota; Viridiplantae; Streptophyta; Magnoliopsida; Lamiales; Oleaceae
Source: RNAcentral
CUAUCUCUCCAUUGGUGUACCACCUGAUAUUCAAAUUGCUGUAAUAAAUUCAAAAGAUUAUCCCAAAAGUCCCAUAGAUUCCACAAAGAACACUUCAAAGAUGAAGUCCAUGAAACCACCAACAAUGAAGCACACUCGAUGUCAAUAUGGUUUACACCCAACUCACAACAUAGUUUUAAAUCUUCAAUAAAUGCUCUCAAUUCAACUUCAUUGUUGGUCCCCUCACUGAAAUAGCUACUGAAAGCUGAAAUCAAUUCACCUCUUUCAUUCCUUAUUACUCCUCCCCCACUGAUUUGUCCAAGGUUCCCAAGAUUGCUACCAUCCACAUUGAGUUUCACUCGAUUAUGAUUUGGUUUUCUCCAUGAAACCACUCGAAUCUGCUUAGUUUUGAUUGGUGCAUGAGGUACCUCUAGCAUUUGAAGAGCAUACUCAUCAUGACUAGUUAGCACUUUUGCAUUUGACAAGUUAAGAGAAGCAUGUAGUAACCAGAAUUUAACAGAUAAAAACACGUCCUCAACAGAUUCUAUCUUACCCUCCAUCCUUGCUUUAUAUCUUCUUGUCCAAAGCCUCCAAGUAAUUAAACUUGGGAGCAAACCGAUCAAACAUUCCACCUUUGAUGAUCUUUAUGCUCUUGCCCGCCAUAAAUUUAUUCUUUCCAUCCAAUUUUGUCUUGGCCUCCAUCGCACACCCGCCAUAGCUCCUACUUUCCUCCACACCUUGUCCGCAAAGUGAUCCACAAAUUGACUUCUUAUACUAUUAAAAUAUGCUUGCGGCGUUAACAAUGAAUAUUUUUGCCGAUAAAGGUCUAAAUGCCAUUGGUAAACCUACUUACACAUGGAUUUUUUCAUUCGAUACAUAUUGAAGUGAAAGUCACAUUGAUAAGUUUGGGAUGCAACCUACAGAAACAUGUCUGUGAUACUGAUGAAUUUCAAUGGAAG